CGAAUGCUGACAUAAGUAACGAUAAAGCGGGUGAAAAGCCCGCUCGCCGGAAGACCAAGGGUUCCUGUCCAACGUUAAUCGGGGCAGGGUGAGUCGACCCCUAAGGCGAGGCCGAAAGGCGUAGUCGAUGGGAAACAGGUUAAUAUUCCUGUACUUGGUGUUACUGCGAAGGGGGGACGGAGAAGGCUAUGUUGGCCGGGCGACGGUUGUCCCGGUUUAAGCGUGUAGGCUGGUUUUCCAGGCAAAUCCGGAAAAUCAAGGCUGAGGCGUGAUGACGAGGCACUACGGUGCUGAAGCAACAAAUGCCCUGCUUCCAGGAAAAGCCUCUAAGCAUCAGGUAACAUCAAAUCGUACCCCAAACCGACACAGGUGGUCAGGUAGAGAAUACCAAGGCGCUUGAGAGAACUCGGGUGAAGGAACUAGGCAAAAUGGUGCCGUAACUUCGGGAGAAGGCACGCUGAUAUGUAGGUGAAGUCCCUCGCGGAUGGAGCUGAAAUCAGUCGAAGAUACCAGCUGGCUGCAACUGUUUAUUAAAAACACAGCACUGUGCAAACACGAAAGUGGACGUAUACGGUGUGACGCCUGCCCGGUGCCGGAAGGUUAAUUGAUGGGGUCAGCGCAAGCGAAGCUCUUGAUCGAAGCCCCGGUAAACGGCGGCCGUAACUAUAACGGUCCUAAGGUAGCGAAAUUCCUUGUCGGGUAAGUUCCGACCUGCACGAAUGGCGUAAUGAUGGCCAGGCUGUCUCCACCCGAGACUCAGUGAAAUUGAACUCGCUGUGAAGAUGCAGUGUACCCGCGGCAAGACGGAAAGACCCCGUGAACCUUUACUAUAGCUUGACACUGAACAUUGAGCCUUGAUGUGUAGGAUAGGUGGGAGGCUUUGAAGUGUGGACGCCAGUCUGCAUGGAGCCGACCUUGAAAUACCACCCUUUAAUGUUUGAUGUUCUAACGUGGACCCGUGAUCCGGGUUGCGGACAGUGUCUGGUGGGUAGUUUGACUGGGGCGGUCUCCUCCUAAAGAGUAACGGAGGAGCACGAAGGUUGGCUAAUCCUGGUCGGACAUCAGGAGGUUAGUGCAAUGGCAUAAGCCAGCUUGACUGCGAGCGUGACGGCGCGAGCAGGUGCGAAAGCAGGUCAUAGUGAUCCGGUGGUUCUGAAUGGAAGGGCCAUCGCUCAACGGAUAAAAGGUACUCCGGGGAUAACAGGCUGAUACCGCCCAAGAGUUCAUAUCGACGGCGGUGUUUGGCACCUCGAUGUCGGCUCAUCACAUCCUGGGGCUGAAGUAGGUCCCAAGGGUAUGGCUGUUCGCCAUUUAAAGUGGUACGCGAGCUGGGUUUAGAACGUCGUGAGACAGUUCGGUCCCUAUCUGCCGUGGGCGCUGGAGAACUGAGGGGGGCUGCUCCUAGUACGAGAGGACCGGAGUGGACGCAUCACUGGUGUUCGGGUUGUCAUGCCAAUGGCACUGCCCGGUAGCUAAAUGCGGAAGAGAUAAGUGCUGAAAGCAUCUAAGCACGAAACUUGCC
RNAcentral lists this ribosomal RNA (1522 nucleotides) under Escherichia coli. RNAcentral describes it as "partial 23S ribosomal RNA". It matches the Rfam family "Bacterial large subunit ribosomal RNA", at positions 1291 to 2798 of the family's 2925-position model. Lineage: Bacteria; Pseudomonadati; Pseudomonadota; Gammaproteobacteria; Enterobacterales; Enterobacteriaceae. The record is from RNAcentral.